This 67-nucleotide transfer RNA is filed under the name Marmota monax (woodchuck). Its description in RNAcentral is "tRNA.Thr". Lineage: Eukaryota; Metazoa; Chordata; Mammalia; Rodentia; Sciuridae. The record is from RNAcentral.
GGAUGUAGCUCAGUGGUAGACUGCUUGCUUAGUAUACACAAGGCCCUGGGUUCAACCCCAAGCACCA